CCUACGGGUGGCAGCAGUGAGGAAUAUUGGUCAAUGGCCGCAGGUCUGAACCAGCCAAGUCGCGUGAGGGAUGACUGUCCUAUGGGUUGUAAACCUCUUUUGUCAAGGAGUAAAAGGCGCCACGUGUGGCUCUUUGCAUGUACCUUAAGAAUAAGCAUCGGCUAACUCCGUGCCAGCAGCCGCGGUAAUACGGAGGAUCCGAGCGUUAUCCGGUUUUAUUGGGUUUAAAGGGUGCGUAGGAGGGAUGUUAAGUCAGCGGGAAAAUUUCGGGGCUAAACCGCGACGUGCCGUUGAAACUGGCGUUCUUGAGUGCGCGAGAGGUAUGCGGAAUGCGUGGUGUAGCGGUGAAAUGCAUAGAUAUCACGCAGAACUCCGAUUGCGAAGACAGCAUACCGGCGCUCAACUGACGCUGAUGCACGAAAGCGUGGGUAUCGAACAGGAUUAGAUACCCGGGUAGUC
RNAcentral lists this ribosomal RNA (459 nucleotides) under uncultured bacterium. Its description in RNAcentral is "partial 16S ribosomal RNA". It matches the Rfam family "Bacterial small subunit ribosomal RNA", at positions 338 to 795 of the family's 1533-position model. The record is from RNAcentral.